GCCUAGCCCUAAAUCUUGAUGUUUCUCUCCUACAAAAACAUCCGCCUGAGAACUACGAGCACAAACGCUUAAAACUCUAAGGACUUGGCGGUACCCUAAACCCACCUAGAGGAGCCUGUUCUAUAAUCGAUAACCCACGAUACACCCAACCACUUCUUGCCAAAACAGCCUACAUACCGCCGUCGCCAGCCCACCUUCCUGAAAGUACAACAGUGAGCUUAAUAACCCUUUUUCGUUAACAAGACAGGUCAAGGUAUAGCCUACGAAGUGGAAGAAAUGGGCUACAUUUUCUAAGAUAGAAAAAGCAACGGAAGAGGACAUGAAAUUUGUCCUCAGAAGGCGGAUUUAGCAGUAAAGUGGGAUAAUAACGCCCUCUUUAAGCUGGCCCUAGGGU
This 394-nucleotide ribosomal RNA is filed under the name Strigops habroptila (Kakapo). Its description in RNAcentral is "partial 12S ribosomal RNA". It matches the Rfam family "Bacterial small subunit ribosomal RNA", at positions 794 to 1380 of the family's 1533-position model. The record is from RNAcentral. Lineage: Eukaryota; Metazoa; Chordata; Aves; Psittaciformes; Psittacidae.